GAUGAAGAACGCAGCGAAAUGCGAUAAGUAAUGCGAAUUGUAGAAUUCAGUGAAUCAUCGAAUCUUUGAACGCACAUUGCGCCCUUUGGUAUUCCAAAGGGCAUGCCUGUUCGAGCGUCAUUUGUACCCUCAAGCUUUGCUUGGUGUUGGGCGUCUUGUCUCUAGCUUUGCUGGAGACUCGCCUUAAAGUAAUUGGCAGCCGGCCUACUGGUUUCGGAGCGCAGCACAAGUCGCACUCUCUAUCAGCAAAGGUCUAGCAUCCAUUAAGCCUUUUUUUCAACUUUUGACCUCGGAUCAGGUAGGGAUACCCGCUGAACUUAAGCAUAUCAAUAAGCGGAGGA
Molecule: unclassified non-coding RNA, 341 nt
Filed under: soil metagenome
Description: partial contains 5.8S ribosomal RNA, internal transcribed spacer 2, and large subunit ribosomal RNA
Rfam family: 5.8S ribosomal RNA (bases 1-120)
Source: RNAcentral